This 145-nucleotide ribosomal RNA is filed under the name uncultured eukaryote. RNAcentral's name for it is "partial 18S ribosomal RNA". It matches the Rfam family "Eukaryotic small subunit ribosomal RNA", at positions 1299 to 1458 of the family's 1831-position model. The record is from RNAcentral.
UGGUGGAGUGAUCUGUCUGGUUAAUUCCGUUAACGAACGAGACCUCGAUCUACUAAAUAGUUGACCGAACACUUCUUGUGUUCGUGGUUACAACUUCUUAGAGGGACUGUCUGUUUCUAGCAGAAUGAAGUUUGAGGCAAUAACA